Molecule: long non-coding RNA, 631 nt
Filed under: Homo sapiens (human)
Lineage: Eukaryota; Metazoa; Chordata; Mammalia; Primates; Hominidae
Description: novel transcript
Source: RNAcentral
ACAGCUCCUAAGAAUUCUCUCACCUGCCUUCUGCCCUUAAGCUCCGGUAGAUUGCAAAUAACCUGCUUUCUUUCUGUUCCCGAGCUGCCUUCGGACCCGUCGGAUCGUAAAUCCCACGUAAGGUACCUGCCGUCGGAAGAUUUGAACUUUCUACUUGGACACCUAAUACCCACAGUCCUCCAGCUGGAGCUGCGUUCGGACCCGUCGGAUCGUAAAUCCCAUGUAAGGUAUCUGCCGUCGGAAGAUUUGAACUUUCUAAUUGGACACCUAACACCCACAGUCCUCCAGACAGAAAGACAACAGGUACAAAGCCCUAAGGAUUAUAAAGGUAUGCUGCUUACCAUCAUCUUAGUGACCAAGGCAGCGAAGCUGUUUCUGUACCUUGGAACAGUCUUCCCUGACAAGCCAGAGAACAGUGAUAAAGCCACCAGCCUUGGGAUCAGGACUGAAAAGGCAAGAGUGAUGGAGAUUUCUCCUGCGCUAAGCCAAGAGAAGGUUUCAGCACUUCAGACAGCUCCCACCGAAGUAGCCGCGCUCCCAGCUGCUUGCAGAUGUUGAAAAGGAAAGCCUCGGUUUGUCUUGAGGUUGUCAGCAGGUGCAAGACACGUAAUAAAAUGCAAUGUGUUCCUAA